ACCCUAGUAGCUCAGCUGGACAGAGCAACGGAUUCCUAAUCCGUAGGUCGGAGGUUCAAGUCCUCUCUAGGGUACCA
This 77-nucleotide transfer RNA is filed under the name Kiritimatiellaceae bacterium. RNAcentral's name for it is "tRNA-Arg". It matches the Rfam family "tRNA". Rfam says of the family: Transfer RNA (tRNA) molecules are approximately 80 nucleotides in length. Their secondary structure includes four short double-helical elements and three loops (D, anti-codon, and T loops). Lineage: Bacteria; Pseudomonadati; Kiritimatiellota; Kiritimatiellia; Kiritimatiellales; Kiritimatiellaceae. The record is from RNAcentral. RNAcentral also lists the same sequence under 1 other name.